Molecule: non-coding RNA, 583 nt
Organism: Mastomys coucha (southern multimammate mouse)
Lineage: Eukaryota; Metazoa; Chordata; Mammalia; Rodentia; Muridae
Source: the annotation of a RefSeq genome assembly
GCUGGGGUGAAGGCACAUCAGCAGUUUCACAGGAUCAAUGGAGAGGGGCCUGGGAACUCCGCUGGGGCUGCUGUUGGUGUUGCUAUGCUGGGUGAGAGGAAUGCAGGUGGAACAGAAUCCUCCAGCGCUGAGUCUUCAUGUGGGAGCUGACUCUGAUCUAAGAUGCAAUUUUUCUGCCAUUAUGAAAAGUGUCCAGUGGUUCCGACAAAAUCACAGAGGCAGCUUCAUCAAUCUUUUUUACCUGGCUCCAGGAACGAAGGAGAUUGGGAGGCUAAAGUCAACAUUCAAUUCUAAGGAGCGCUAUAGCACCCUGCACAUCAGGGAUGCCCAGCUGGAGGACUCUGGCACCUACCUCUGUGCUGCUGAGGCACAGUGCUCCCAGCCAGCUUACAGCCUGGCUCCAAACUGCAGCUGGGUGUGCACCACAAUUGAUAAGCGACACCUGAACUCAGAUAUGUGUCUUACAGAUGAUUUUGAGGACAAGAGCACAUUUUUGACUCUGGAAGGUGUUACAAUAGACCCUGGUUUAGUUUCUGUCCACCAGGGGGUGGACUUUCCUAACACGAGAUCCUUAUCUGUGUAA